This 451-nucleotide ribosomal RNA is filed under the name uncultured bacterium. RNAcentral's name for it is "partial 16S ribosomal RNA". It matches the Rfam family "Bacterial small subunit ribosomal RNA", at positions 28 to 506 of the family's 1533-position model. The record is from RNAcentral.
AGCGAACGCUGGCGGCAUGCCUAACACAUGCAAGUCGCACGGGGGGGGCUUCGGCCUCCCAGUGGCGGACGGGUGAGGAACGCGUAGGGACCUGUCGAGGGGUGGGGGAUAACCGCGGGAAACUGCGGCUAAUACCGCAUGACGCCGCGGCGUGACAGCCGGGGCCAAAGGCGAAAGCCGCCCGCCGAGGGGCCUGCGUCCGAUUAGCUGGUUGGCGGGGUAGCGGCCCACCAAGGCGUCGAUCGGUAGCUGGUCUGAGAGGGUGAUCAGCCACACCGGGACUGAGACACGGCCCGGACUCCUACGGGAGGCAGCAGUGGGGAAUAUUGGACAAUGGGCGCAAGCCUGAUCCAGCAAUGCCGCGUGGGUGAAGAAGGUCUUCGGAUUGUAAAGCCCUUUCGGCGGGGACGAUGGUGACGGUACCCGCAGAAGAAGCCCCGGCUAACUUCGU